Long non-coding RNA from Falco peregrinus (peregrine falcon), 410 nucleotides. RefSeq lists it as uncharacterized. The record is from RefSeq and is a predicted model, not a curated record. The transcript is spliced from 3 exons. NCBI's taxonomy places the organism in Eukaryota, Metazoa, Chordata, Aves, Falconiformes, Falconidae.
GGGACGGGCGGCAGCUCCAGCCGCGUUCCGCCCGGAACCGGGAGCGGGGAGCCGGAGCGGGACUGCUCCGCCGCUGCCCCCCGGCCCGGAGCGGGUACCGGCCCCGCGCCGCCGAGCCAUGGCCGCGCCUCGGCAGAACCCUGCACGGCUGAUGUCAGCGGGAUGCGUUCGGUGGCACCGGGCUGGCCAUGACCAUCGUGUGGUGGUGACGUUGAACCCCGGCCCAUCCAGUGCCGGCAGGGGGAAAGACUGGACAAAGCGACUCCUGCUGCAAAUACCAGCAUGUCAGGGCACCAGUGACGUUCGAGGACAUGACGGUCCAGUUCUCAAUGGAGGAGUGGGAGCUGCUGGAGAAACGGCAGUGGGACCUGCACCAGGAGAUGACAGAGGGGACAUGCUGGCUGCUGGCC